ACUCGAGUGCGAGAGUCGCCCUUGGAGACUCGAUCUCCCCAACUGGACAGUGGGCCCUCCUCGCAGCCGCGCGGCUCCGCUUUCACGGGAACCUUCGGCGAAGGGAGGGGCGCCCCAGGCUUGGACGCGGAAACCCCGGCUGCUUUUGAAGGGGGAACGGGGCUGGCUCCAGUGGAGCGAGGAGCGGCUCCUGCCUUGGGAUGACACGAAGGCCAGAUUUGGAAGCGAAACCGCCCGGUGGUGAAGGGUUGUGCAAUACUCCGUUUCAGUCCCUGGCCUUUUAAGCAGUUAAGGGCUUCCUCCUGGCACAGUUUGAGCAACUUGAAACAGCACAAAGCUGCGUGGUUAGAACAACUUUGAGAAAAAUGUCUGUGUUUCUUUUAAAAAAAACCUUGGCAACUAAAUCUUCUGUGAAAUGACGUUUCCUUUAUAAUCGUUUACUAGGUACAAGAAAGACAAGACAAAGGCAUUUGAAUUACAGACGCGAUAUGGAUACUAAUUUUAUCCAGGGCAGCUGUAAUGAAAAAUAGAAACAAUGUCCUUUUGAUUAAAAAGCUUAUUUUUAAGAGCUUACUGGUUCCCCAGAUGAGCUCUGUGCUAUGAUAACAAAUCAGUGGUUUGAGGAAAAGUUAGAUAAACACUCUUCAAAGUGCACAAGCACAUAAAAUGCUAGAUUAUUUUCAUAGCUACUUGGAUCAGAUAUGAAGUAUGUUUUAGCCAAAGCACC
Molecule: long non-coding RNA, 727 nt
Filed under: Homo sapiens (human)
Lineage: Eukaryota; Metazoa; Chordata; Mammalia; Primates; Hominidae
Description: non-protein coding lnc-NT5E-9:2
Source: RNAcentral